RNAcentral lists this unclassified non-coding RNA (199 nucleotides) under Glomus cubense. Its description in RNAcentral is "partial internal transcribed spacer region". The stretch from base 1 to 46 matches the Rfam family "Eukaryotic small subunit ribosomal RNA", at positions 1786 to 1831 of the family's 1831-position model. The record is from RNAcentral. Lineage: Eukaryota; Fungi; Glomeromycota; Glomeromycetes; Glomerales; Glomeraceae.
AAGUCGUAACAAGGUUUCCGUAGGUGAACCUGCGGAAGGAUCAUUAAUGAUUUUUAAAGCAAACCAAGCUUUUUUUAAAAGUAAGGUUUUGCGAAUGUAUAUUUAAAACCCCACUCUUUUAAAAAUCAAAUUUUUUCAUUCAUUAUAUUAUGAAUAAAUAAAAAAAAGAUCACUUUCAACAACGGAUCUCUUGGCUCUC